RNAcentral lists this ribosomal RNA (429 nucleotides) under Bacteroidota bacterium. RNAcentral describes it as "Bacteroidetes bacterium partial 16S ribosomal RNA". It matches the Rfam family "Bacterial small subunit ribosomal RNA", at positions 355 to 776 of the family's 1533-position model. Lineage: Bacteria; Pseudomonadati; Bacteroidota. The record is from RNAcentral.
UAGGGAAUCUUCCGCAAUGGACGCAAGUCUGACGGAGCAACGCCGCGUGAGUGAAGAAGGAUUUCGGUUCGUAAAACUCUGUUGUUAGAGAAGAACAGCGCAUAGAGUAACUGUUAUGCGUGUGACGGUAUCUAACCAGAAAGCCACGGCUAACUACGUGCCAGCAGCCGCGGUAAUACGUAGUUGGCAAGCGUUGUCCGGAUUUAUUGGGCGUAAAGCGAGCGCAGGCGGUCAAUUAAGUCUGAUGUGAAAGCCCCCGGCUCAACCGGGGAGGGUCAUUGGAAACUGGUUGACUUGAGUGCAGAAGAGGAGAGUGGAAUUCCAUGUGUAGCGGUGAAAUGCGUAGAUAUAUGGAGGAACACCGGUGGCGAAAGCGGCUCUCUGGUCUGUAACUGACGCUGAGGCUCGAAAGCGUGGGGAGCGAACAGG